AGUGAACGCUGGCGGUAGGCCUAACACAUGCAAGUCGAACGGCAGCACAGUAAGAGCUUGCUCUUACGGGUGGCGAGUGGCGGACGGGUGAGGAAUACAUCGGAAUCUACUUUUUCGUGGGGGAUAACGUAGGGAAACUUACGCUAAUACCGCAUACGACCUACGGGUGAAAGCAGGGGAUCUUCGGACCUUGCGCGAUUGAAUGAGCCGAUGUCGGCUUAGCUAGUUGGCGGGGUAAAGGCCCACCAAGGCGACGAUCCGUAGCUGGUCUGAGAGGAUGAUCAGCCACACUGGAACUGAGACACGGUCCAGACUCCUACGGGAGGCAGCAGUGGGGAAUAUUGGACAAUGGGCGCAAGCCUGAUCCAGCCAUACCGCGUGGGUGAAGAAGGCCUUCGGGUUGUAAAGCCCUUUUGUUGGGAAAGAAAAGCAGCAGGUUAAUACCCCGCUGUUCUGACGGUACCCAAAGAAUAAGCACCGGCUAACUUCGCG
Molecule: ribosomal RNA, 492 nt
Filed under: uncultured bacterium
Lineage: Bacteria
Description: partial 16S ribosomal RNA
Rfam family: Bacterial small subunit ribosomal RNA
Source: RNAcentral